GCUGGAUGCUGCAAGCCUUAUGCAGGGAUGAAUGGAGGCACCUUGUGCCAGUGGGCUGCUUCCAGCCCCAGGAGGCUUUGCACAGAAAGUUAGGCAGGACAAACCAUGGCACUGUUGCUUCUAGAUUUUCCCUGUGUUUUGUUAUUUAUCUGCUCUUCCCCAACAUGAGUGCAGGGGAAAUAAAGCUGUUUUAUUGUUAUUUUAGAUUUACUUGAUAUUACUUCAACACUUUCUGUCUCCUGCUGAGGAAAAUAUCAUGAUAUAAAUAUUGAACUUUUAACUAUGCUUUGAACAAUUACUAUUCUACAGCAACAGGUAUUAAUUAUAUUGAAGUUGAUCAUGCGUAUUUCUAGGAACCUUAUUUUAAAAUAAAACUUAAAAGUCCAUAAGCUAAAAG
Molecule: long non-coding RNA, 397 nt
Organism: Oxyura jamaicensis (ruddy duck)
Lineage: Eukaryota; Metazoa; Chordata; Aves; Anseriformes; Anatidae
Exons: 2
Source: RefSeq, a predicted model, not a curated record